RNAcentral lists this ribosomal RNA (49 nucleotides) under Neofusicoccum luteum. RNAcentral describes it as "partial 28S ribosomal RNA". Lineage: Eukaryota; Fungi; Ascomycota; Dothideomycetes; Botryosphaeriales; Botryosphaeriaceae. RNAcentral also lists the same sequence under 1 other name. The record is from RNAcentral.
UUGACCUCGGAUCAGGUAGGGAUACCCGCUGAACUUAAGCAUAUCAGUA